AGUGCAAAUACAGCCACAUAGAGCCCCCGCUGGGUAGACAACGCUUCUUCUCCACUCAGUAUCAGAAGGAGUUUCCCUUCAAGUACCAGGGCCCAUUGGUACAGAAGCCAAGUACCAUGUUUGAGAGCCACUUGCCACUGGGCACAGCCAGACACUUUGGCUGCUGGCAUGAGAAAGUGGACCUUCGAGGCCCCCAGAUCCCUAUGUACCCUUGCCGGAGCCAGGAAUAAAUAUCAUUUGAUUGUCAAA
This 249-nucleotide long non-coding RNA is filed under the name Rattus norvegicus (Norway rat). RNAcentral's name for it is "long non-coding RNA NONRATT007211". Lineage: Eukaryota; Metazoa; Chordata; Mammalia; Rodentia; Muridae. The record is from RNAcentral.